Molecule: long non-coding RNA, 531 nt
Organism: Ixodes scapularis (black-legged tick)
Lineage: Eukaryota; Metazoa; Arthropoda; Arachnida; Ixodida; Ixodidae
Exons: 3
Source: RefSeq, a predicted model, not a curated record
GUGAAAGUCAAGUAUGCCCCAACGACGUUGACAAAGGUUCCUUUCUGUCCAAAGUUUCAACGCCCUGCACUGCCCCCUGUGGAACCUAAUAUUCUUGGGCGACUGAAGAAAGACCUCCCAUAUGUGUGCUCGAUUGCAAUCCACGAGCGGAAACGGCCACACGCAGGACAGGCGAGUGGAGCAUCAUGCUCUUCUGUGGUGGCAUCUCGUCCACCUAACCUGCUGGAAGUACUGCGGCGAAUGCCAGAAGAAGAGCUCCAGAACGUCCUGACAGUGCUGAAGCGAGUACUAACCAAGGACGUCAUUGCAGAAAUUGAGCGCAGAACAAAAGCACAAUCUGCAGAGCCCGAGUGGAUGCUGUACAGGAAGGGCAUGGCCACGGCAUCAAUCUGCCACUCAUUCCGCACAUGGGUGGCGUCUGUAAAAAAACCGGCGAUACAUCCUAGACCACACAAUGUCGGCGGUCUGCUCGAUCUAGUGCUCAGGCUGAACACUUAUCAAUCUGCCUCCAUGGAGAGGGGUCAGGAGAAC